Molecule: transfer RNA, 84 nt
Organism: Rubrobacter xylanophilus DSM 9941
Lineage: Bacteria; Bacillati; Actinomycetota; Rubrobacteria; Rubrobacterales; Rubrobacteraceae
Rfam family: tRNA
About the family: Transfer RNA (tRNA) molecules are approximately 80 nucleotides in length. Their secondary structure includes four short double-helical elements and three loops (D, anti-codon, and T loops).
Source: Rfam
GCCGGAGUGGCGGAACCGGUAGACGCGCCGGACUCAAAAUCCGGUUCCCUUCGGGGAGUGUGGGUUCGAGUCCCACCUCCGGCA